ACGAACGCUGGCGGCACGCCUAACACAUGCCAGUCGAACGAUUGCCUUCGGGUGAUAGUGGCGCACGGGUGCGUAACGCGUGGGAAUCUGCCCUUAGGUUCGGAAUAACAGCUGGAAACGGCUGCUAAUACCGGAUGAUAUCGCGAGAUCAAAGAUUUAUCGCCUGAGGAUGAGCCCGCGUUGGAUUAGGUAGUUGGUGGGGUAAAGGCCUACCAAGCCGACGAUCCAUAGCUGGUCUGAGAGGAUGAUCAGCCACACUGGGACUGAGACACGGCCCAGACUCCUACGGGAGGCAGCAGUGGGGAAUAUUGGACAAUGGGCGCAAGCCUGAUCCAGCAAUGCCGCGUGAGUGAUGAAGGCCCUAGGGUUGUAAAGCUCUUUUACCCGGGAAGAUAAUGACUGUACCGGGAGAAUAAGCCCCGGCUAACUCCGUG
RNAcentral lists this ribosomal RNA (434 nucleotides) under uncultured bacterium. RNAcentral describes it as "partial 16S ribosomal RNA". It matches the Rfam family "Bacterial small subunit ribosomal RNA", at positions 29 to 507 of the family's 1533-position model. The record is from RNAcentral.